UUAACUAUUAUAUAAUACUCAGACAUCACUGAUAAAAGAGUUUGGGUCCUCUGGCGGGCACGAUCAGCCGAGGCCGACGUCUAAAAGAACGGCCCGCCAAAGCAACAAAGGUAAAUAAACACAGGGUGUAUAAUAUCUCCCAUUCCCAUCCAAUGCGUUUUACGGCAAAGGACCGGUCCGGUUACAUUAAUGAUCCUUCCGCAGGUUCACCUACGGAAA
RNAcentral lists this unclassified non-coding RNA (219 nucleotides) under uncultured fungus. RNAcentral's name for it is "sequence contains ITS1". The record is from RNAcentral. Lineage: Eukaryota; Fungi.